This 293-nucleotide ribosomal RNA is filed under the name uncultured microorganism. RNAcentral's name for it is "partial 16S ribosomal RNA". It matches the Rfam family "Bacterial small subunit ribosomal RNA", at positions 505 to 796 of the family's 1533-position model. The record is from RNAcentral.
UUGCCAGCAGCCGCGGUAAUACGUAGGUGGCAAGCGUUGUCCGGAUUUAUUGGGCGUAAAGCGAGCGCAGGCGGUUUCUUUAAGUUGAUGUGAAAGCCCCCGGCUCAACCGGGGAGGGUCAUUGGGAAACUGGGACACUUGAGUGCAGAAGAGGAGAGUGGAAUUCCAUGUGUAGCGGUGAAAUGCGUAGAUAUAUGGAGGAACACCAGUGGCGAAGGCGGCUCUCUGGUCUGUAACUGACGCUGAGGCUCGAAAGUGUGGGGAGCAAACAGGAUUAGAUACCCUGGUAGUCC